This 531-nucleotide long non-coding RNA is filed under the name Parus major (Great Tit). RNAcentral describes it as "lncRNA (ENSPMJG00000018571.1)". Lineage: Eukaryota; Metazoa; Chordata; Aves; Passeriformes; Paridae. The record is from RNAcentral.
UUCAAAUUAAAACUGCUGAGAAACAAAACCCCACACAUGUGAACUAACUAAGCCAUUCUUUAAAAAGUGACUUUAAUAGGACCAGUGUAACUGGUGACAUUGUUUGUUAAAAAAAAGCCAAAACAUCUGUAAGUCUUUGUUAGCUGGAAAUUUAUUUUGGACUAUCAUACGAGAAUGUUAUUAAUUUAAGAUUCCAAUUAUUAUUUGUGUUUCAGUAACAAUCUGCUCUCUGGAAAUUGCUGCAAUGCUUGUCAAAAGUCACUGUUUUAUCCCGUAAUUUUCUACAAGGAGGCCAAAGAUCUCUUGAGCUUUGUUUCCUGAAAGACUUCACUUGGGUGUUUCUAAGACAACUUGAUGUUCCUCAGCUGGGCAGAAGGCAUUCAAGCAGGUACUAAGUGUAAUAAGUCUGGAUAAGAGACCAGUCAUGUUUUUAAUUGCCUUAUUCCUCUUCUAGUUUUAGGAAGUGGAUAGUGUAUCGUGAUUACUCUGCUGUUCAUACUUUCAGGUACAGAACAGGAAGGUAGCUGGGAU